This 234-nucleotide ribosomal RNA is filed under the name Bradyrhizobium sp. ISO885_OTU1. RNAcentral describes it as "partial 16S ribosomal RNA". It matches the Rfam family "Bacterial small subunit ribosomal RNA", at positions 29 to 289 of the family's 1533-position model. RNAcentral also lists the same sequence under 2 other names. Lineage: Bacteria; Pseudomonadati; Pseudomonadota; Alphaproteobacteria; Hyphomicrobiales; Nitrobacteraceae. The record is from RNAcentral.
GCGAACGCUGGCGGCAGGCUUAACACAUGCAAGUCGAGCGGGCAUAGCAAUAUGUCAGCGGCAGACGGGUGAGUAACGCGUGGGAACGUACCUUUUGGUUCGGAACAACACAGGGAAACUUGUGCUAAUACCGGAUAAGCCCUUACGGGGAAAGAUUUAUCGCCGAAAGAUCGGCCCGCGUCUGAUUAGCUAGUUGGUGAGGUAACGGCUCACCAAGGCGACGAUCAGUAGCUG